Molecule: transfer RNA, 88 nt
Filed under: Labilithrix luteola
Lineage: Bacteria; Pseudomonadati; Myxococcota; Polyangiales; Labilitrichaceae
Source: Rfam by way of RNAcentral
GCCGACGUAGCCCAACGGGGAGAGGCAGCGCUCUUCGACGCCCCUGGUCGGGAAGCGCGCAGUGUCCGUUCGAAUCGGACCGUCGGUA